Molecule: long non-coding RNA, 209 nt
Filed under: Brassica napus (rape)
Lineage: Eukaryota; Viridiplantae; Streptophyta; Magnoliopsida; Brassicales; Brassicaceae
Description: long non-coding RNA (BNAP_LNC010585)
Source: RNAcentral
UUCAAAAUGAUUGCUACAUUCACAGGGAUCAUGACAUUAGUGAAUUCUUGGACCGGCUAUAGUUAACGGUUUCUUAACCAUCUAAACAGGUCUCCUUUGUAAAUUUUCUACAAGAACGUUUGGUAUGAUGUCCAUGUGUACAUUUGCCUCAUAGUGUACACAUGUACAUUUUGUACUCAUAGUGUCCAUAUGUACAUCUAUAGGUAUCC